Pseudomonas fluorescens is the source of this 85-nucleotide non-coding RNA. The record is from Rfam. Lineage: Bacteria; Pseudomonadati; Pseudomonadota; Gammaproteobacteria; Pseudomonadales; Pseudomonadaceae.
UGCCGGGAGUGGGCUAAUACAAGACCCGAAAGGGGAAUAUGUCCGGCCCUCUGUGUGGGGUUUCUUAACUCCCGGCACCCAGCCC